Danio rerio (zebrafish) is the source of this 46-nucleotide non-coding RNA. The record is from Rfam. NCBI's taxonomy places the organism in Eukaryota, Metazoa, Chordata, Actinopteri, Cypriniformes, Danionidae.
ACAACGGUACUUUUCAGUGCCACCAAAACAUCAAUAAAGAGCACUU